This 253-nucleotide ribosomal RNA is filed under the name uncultured bacterium. RNAcentral's name for it is "partial 16S ribosomal RNA". It matches the Rfam family "Bacterial small subunit ribosomal RNA", at positions 524 to 776 of the family's 1533-position model. The record is from RNAcentral.
UACAGAGGUCUCAAGCGUUGUUCGGAUUCAUUGGGCGUAAAGAGCUCGUAGGCGGCUCGGUAAGUCAGGUGUCAAAUCCUCAGGCUCAACCUGGGGCUCCACCUGAUACUGCUGUGGCUAGAGUCCGGUAGGGGAGCGUGGAAUUCCUGGUGUAGCGGUGAAAUGCGCAGAUAUCAGGAGGAACACCGAUGGCGAAGGCAGGUCUCUGGGCAUUAACUGACGCUGAGGAGCGAAAGCAUGGGGAGCGAACAGG